Long non-coding RNA from Oncorhynchus keta (chum salmon), 992 nucleotides. RefSeq lists it as uncharacterized. The transcript is spliced from 3 exons. Lineage: Eukaryota; Metazoa; Chordata; Actinopteri; Salmoniformes; Salmonidae. The record is from RefSeq and is a predicted model, not a curated record.
CUUCUGUGGCUCAGUUGGUAGAGCAUGGCGCUUGUAACGCCAGGGUUGUGGGUUCGAUUCCCGGGACCACCCAUACGUAGAAUGUAUGCACACAUGACUGUAAGUCGCUUUGGAUAAAAGCGUCAGCUAAAUGGCAUAUAUUAUUAUUAUUAUUAUAUAUUAAAUGGGGAAAUAGGUAAAUGACAAUCUUUAUAUAACUAGGCAAGUCAGUUAAGAACAAAUUCUUACUUACAGUAACGGCCUACCCCGGCCAAACCCGGACGAUGCUGGGCCAAUUGUGCGCCGCACUGUGGGCCUCCCAAUCACGGCCGGAUGUGAUACAGCCUGGAAUCGAACCAGGGACUGUAGCAACGCCUCUUGAGAUCCAUGUGCGUGUGUUAACUAUUUAACUGAACUAGAAAGCGUAAAAGGACGCUAAAAUGUUUAACAUCGGAUAUCGGUGCAUCACUACUUUACAUGUUGCGUUUCUAUUUUUGUUCUGUGUUUUAUAGAACGGUACCAACCCCUCGAUGAUGAGGCUCUCGUAGGGGGCCUUCUUGUCACAGACAGGACAGACCCAGGUAUUAUUAUAGAGAGGGGUACCAACCCCUCGAUGAUGAGGCUCUCGUAGGGGGUCUUCUUGUCACAGACAGGACAGACCCAGGUAUUAUUAUAGAGAGGGGUACCAACCCAUCGAUGAUGAGGCUCUCGUAGGGGGUCUUCUUGUCACAGACAGGACAGACCCAGGUAUUAUUAUAGAGAGGGGUACCAACCCAUCGAUGAUGAGGCUCUCGUAGGGGGUCUUCUUGUCACAGACAGGACAGACCCAGGUAUUAUUAUAGAGAGGGGUACCAACCCAUCGAUGAUGAGGCUCUCGUAGGGGGUCUUCUUGUCACAGACAGGACAGACCCAGGUAUUAUUAUAGAGAGGGGUACCAACCCAUCGAUGAUGAGGCUCUCGUAGGGGGUCUUCUUGUCACAGACAGGACAGACCCAGGUAUUAUUAUAGAGAGG